GGCUUCCCGUCUCCAGAGUCACUGCAGUCUCUGUCUCUGGGCUCCGAGUGGGAACCUCUGAGAAAGGCGGAAUCCGGGAGAAAUCUUUCUAGGAGCAGUGUGAGGAGGACAGACGAGCCCUCUGGACUGGCAAGGCCACCGGCCAAGUACUGCUGCCACCAUGCCCAAGAGAAAGGCAAAAGGAGAUGCUAAAGGUGACAAAGCAAAGGUGAAGGAUGAGCCACAGAGGAGAUCAGCACGGUUGUCCGCUAAACCUGCCCCCCCAAAACCAGAGCCCAGGCCUAAAAAGGCCCCUGCAAAGAAGGGAGAGAAGCUGCCCAAAGGGAGAAAGGGGAAAGCAGAUAGUGGCAAGGAUGGGAACAACCCUGCGAAAAACCGAGAUGCCGCCACAGUCCAGUCACAGAAAGCGGAAGGCAGCGGGGAUGCCAAGUGAAGUGUGCUAUUUUGAUAGCUCUGUACUUCUAGUGACUCUGCUGUUUGAAAUACUGUUUUUUUUCAAAUCAACUUUUAUAAAAAUGUAGAAUUUUGUUUUUCUUUUUAAGUUAUAUUGUUAGCACACAGGACACUUAGUUGUCUUUUGUGGAAAGGGCAAAUACCACUAACAGAGUGUUUCAGAAGCUGGAUUAAAAUGGAGGAAAAUAGUAUUUUCUGUCCUCAUUUUUGAAGAUUAUUCUUGGUCCCCGGGAGAGAUUCUCUGACAUUCACACACGAGUCAGUCACUUUGGCUCAGACGCCUUACAGUGUGUGGAAGCAAAACUUCAUGUCUUUGCCUUUCCUGAUACCAUCAGCAUAUAUUUGACUUUCUGAACCCAAGAGUUAUGGUUUCAGAAAACCAGCAUCCCUAAAAUCAGCUGUGUUGGGUAAUAAUCCUCAGGCCUUCUGAUGAAGACAUCGACAUGGUGUUGCUCAAAAGAGCCAAGAUUCCUGUUUGCAAUUUGUGGAUCAUCCCAUUGAUAAUCCUGGAGUUUGUAGUUUUCUCCAAGUCAGAAAUGACCUGUGAAAAGCUCUUACAUGCCUCAUGUGAAAUAUCCACCCCUUCUGACAACUUUGCCUGUUCAAAGCAGGAACAGAAGACUUUGUUGACUUUUUGGGGAGGGGUGUUUGGAAGUUGUAAAAUGUUAUGGAUUGUCACCUAUGUCCUGCUGGAAAUAACUGUUUUUGAAAAGUAUCUUAUGGAGCUGUAUACAAGUUGGCUUGGUGGAAGGGGGGGAUCAUUUCCUACCCAAAGUCAUAAAGAUAUUCUUUACUGCCUUGUAAAAGUUUUACAGUUUUGCUUUUCAUACGUCUUUAGUCUUUAGAACUGGUUUUUGUGAAAAGUAUGAGAUAGAAGUUCAAUAUAAUAUAUUUUCCAUAUAGAUAAGUGGUUGUUGCAGCACCAUUUUCUGAAAAGUUCAUCCUUUCCUCACUGACCUGUAACACUGUCUCUUUCAUAAAUCAAGUUUGUGUGUUUGUGUGGGUCUCUUGAUGGUUUCUGUUCUGACUCACUGGUCAAUUUGUCUAACCUGUGGCAGUACUAUACAAUCCUGAGUAUGACAACUUUAGAAAAAGGUCUUGAUAUCUCAGGACAAAUCCCACCUCCACCUCCAACAUCAUCACCAAAUUUUUCUUCCUUGAGAGUAUCUUGGCUAUUUUUAGCCAUUUGCUUUUCCAUACAAUUUCUAGAAUUAGAUUGAGAAGUUCUAAAUCAAACAAAAAAAAUGUUGGAAUUUUUAUUAGAUUUAUGGAUUAAUUACAGUGUUGAAUCUUCCAAUCCAUGAACAUGGUAUAGCAUUUAUUUAGGCUUUUUAAAUGUCUUUCAAUAAAGUUUUAUAAUUUUCUCCAUAAAUGUCUUCUUUUGUUAAUAUUUCCUGGGGACUUUAUACCUUUUGAUGCUCUUUUAUGUGGUAUAUUUUAGUUACUACAUUUUCUGGUUUUAGCUAAAGUUGAUUUUUGUAUCCAGCAACCUUGCUAAACUCUCAAUUCUUAUAUGUCUGUAUACUUCUUUGGGUUUUCUGCCUAGAUAACCAUAUAUUCUGUGUAUGCAAACAAUUUUUUUUCCUCAC
This 2042-nucleotide long non-coding RNA is filed under the name Equus asinus (donkey). RNAcentral describes it as "lncRNA (ENSEASG00005032087.1)". Lineage: Eukaryota; Metazoa; Chordata; Mammalia; Perissodactyla; Equidae. The record is from RNAcentral.